This 449-nucleotide ribosomal RNA is filed under the name uncultured bacterium. RNAcentral's name for it is "partial 16S ribosomal RNA". It matches the Rfam family "Bacterial small subunit ribosomal RNA", at positions 354 to 796 of the family's 1533-position model. The record is from RNAcentral.
GUCGAGAAUCUUUCACAAUGGGGGCAACCCUGAUGGAGCGACGCCGCGUGGAGGAUAAGGUCUUCGGAUUGUAAACUCCUGUCAUGCGUGAACAAGGUUGCUUGGUUAAUACCUGGGCAAAUUGAUGGUAACGCAAGAGGAAGAGACGGCUAACUCUGUGCCAGCAGCCGCGGUAAUACAGAGGUCUCAAGCGUUGUUAGGAAUCACUGGGCGUAAAGGGUGCGUAGGUGGCGUGGUAAGUCAGAUGUGAAAGCCCGGGGCUCAACCUCGGAACUGCAUCCGAUACUGCCAUGCUAGAGUACUGGAGAGGUGACUAGAAUUCUCGGUGUAGCAGUGAAAUGCGUAGAUAUCGAGAGGAAUACCAAAGGCGUAGGCAGGUCACUGGACAGUUACUGACACUGAGGCACGAAGGCCAGGGGAGCGAACGGGAUUAGAUACCCUGGUAGUCC